This 430-nucleotide ribosomal RNA is filed under the name uncultured archaeon. RNAcentral's name for it is "bacterial SSU rRNA". It matches the Rfam family "Archaeal small subunit ribosomal RNA", at positions 474 to 903 of the family's 1478-position model. The record is from RNAcentral.
CACCGGCGGCCCGAGUGGUGGCCACUAUUAUUGGGUCUAAAGGGUCCGUAGCCGGUUUGAUCAGUCUUCCGGGAAAUCUGACAGCUCAACUGUUAGGCUUCCGGGGGAUACUGUCAGACUUGGGACCGGGAGAGGUAAGAGGUACUACAGGGGUAGGAGUGAAAUCUUGUAAUCCUUGUGGGACCACCAGUGGCGAAGGCGUCUUACCAGAACGGGUCCGACGGUGAGGGACGAAAGCUGGGGGCACGAACCGGAUUAGAUACCCGGGUAGUCCCAGCCGUAAACGAUGCUCGCUAGGUGUCUGGGACGGUGCGACCGUUUCAGGUGCCGCAGGGAAGCCGUGAAGCGAGCCACCUGGGAAGUACGGCCGCAAGGCUGAAACUUAAAGGAAUUGGCGGGGGAGCACUACAACGGGUGGAGCCUGCGGUUU